UACUUUUGCCGGCCAGCGCCGCACGGGUGAGUAAUGCCUGGGAAAUUGCCCAGUCGAGGUGGAUUACCGCUGGAAACGACUGCUAAUACCGCAUACGCCCUACGGGGGAAAGCAGGGGACCUUCGGGCCUUGCGCGAUUGUAUAUGCCCAGGUGGGAUUCGCUUGUUGAUGAGGUAAUGGCUCACCAAGGCGACGAUCCCCAGCUGGUCUGAGAGGAUGAUCCGCCCCACUGGUACUGACCCAGGCUCAACACUAAAACGGGAGGCAGCAGUGGGGAAUAUUGCACAAUGGGGGAAACCCUGAUGCAGCCUAGACGCGUGUGUGAAGAAGGCCUUCGGGUUGUAAAGCACUUUCAGCGAGGAGGAAAGGUUGAUACCUAAUACCUAUCAGCUGUGACGUUACUCGCAGAAGAAGCACCGGCUAACUCCGUGCCAGCAGCCGCGGUAUACGGAGGGUGCAAGCGUUAAUCGGAAUUACUGGGCGUAAAGCGCACGCAGGCGGUUGGAUAAGUUAGAUGUGAAGCCCCGGGCUCAACCUGGGAAUUGCAUUUAAACUGUCCAGCUAGAGUCUUGUAGAGGGGGGUAGAAUUCCAGGUGUAGCGGUGAAAUGCGUAGAGAUCUGGAGAAUACCGGUGGCGAAGGCGGCCCCUGGACAAGACUGAGCUCAGGUGCGAAAGCGUGGGAGCAAAAGGAUUAGAUACCCUGGUGUCCAGCCGUAACGAUGUCGAUUGGAGGCUGUGUUCUUGAGACG
RNAcentral lists this ribosomal RNA (750 nucleotides) under Aeromonas sp. FPW49. RNAcentral describes it as "bacterial SSU rRNA". It matches the Rfam family "Bacterial small subunit ribosomal RNA", at positions 80 to 839 of the family's 1533-position model. Lineage: Bacteria; Pseudomonadati; Pseudomonadota; Gammaproteobacteria; Aeromonadales; Aeromonadaceae. The record is from RNAcentral.